This is a long non-coding RNA of Cyprinus carpio (common carp), 869 nucleotides long. RefSeq lists it as uncharacterized. NCBI's taxonomy places the organism in Eukaryota, Metazoa, Chordata, Actinopteri, Cypriniformes, Cyprinidae. The record is from RefSeq and is a predicted model, not a curated record. The transcript has 5 exons.
AUUUCCUUUAGAUGAGAAGGUGACGGCGAUAAGACGUGAGACAUACUGUAUGUACAGUGAGACAAAACGAUGAGCGCAUCUGCAUCGAAGGCGAAGCUCUCAGUCAGAGUUGAUAGUUUGUAUCUGCGUCCUUUUUGUGCAAUACAGUACAGAAUACAUCUUGUAUCCAACUAAUGCAGAGUAUAUUCAAGUUGCCAACACACUGGUUGUGAAGAACCCUUUCCAGAGAAAUAUAAAAGGAAAUGACUGUGAAACUUGUGUUGGGGAGGAUUCAGUGUCUGUUGAGGCCCAUGCGAAUGUGCUACAAAGUGAGUAUCAGAAAACACAUCCAGACACCUGGACUGUCAAAGACCACUCGGCACGAACAUUCUCCUGGAGACGCUGAGAAAGCACGGAAGGAAUGUCUGUGGAGGAUGUACUCAAACACACCCAUACUUAAGGACACCUGCUGGACUAAUGGAUACUGACUGGAAAAUGGUAAUCAUAGGAGGAGGGCUCAGUGUGGUGAAAGAAGAUGGAAUAGACAUGUGCCAGUGCACCAGCCUUGAUGAAGCCUUCAUAACAGCCUUCUGUAUGUAUUUUGCUUUCAACAUUGCAUAUCCAACAUACCUGAGAAAGACACUGACUUUCCUUCAGAGGCACAUUGUCAACAUUGUGGAAGAUGGAGACAAACACUGCCAGUAACUUUACUCUGAAUGAUCAGCCUUUUGUAUUAGAUCCUCAUGCCUCAACUGUACCAUUACACAAAGUGCACUCGAAGGACAUUCACUCUUUUGAAGUUAAUCCAACAUGUUGAACCAAAAAUUAGUAUAACCUAUGGUAUAGAUGAGUGCCAGUCACCUUUUUUGUUAUUUUAUUCUUUUAGAAAA